This 51-nucleotide microRNA precursor is filed under the name Echinops telfairi (small Madagascar hedgehog). RNAcentral's name for it is "miRNA (ENSETEG00000024185.1)". Lineage: Eukaryota; Metazoa; Chordata; Mammalia; Afrosoricida; Tenrecidae. The record is from RNAcentral.
CCGCGCGGGGCUGGGCUGGGCUGGGCUGGGCUGCGCUGCGCUGGGGCGGGC